RNAcentral lists this long non-coding RNA (1335 nucleotides) under Olea europaea subsp. europaea. Lineage: Eukaryota; Viridiplantae; Streptophyta; Magnoliopsida; Lamiales; Oleaceae. The record is from RNAcentral.
UGUGUGAUCAAUAAAUCGGUCCAAAGAAAGGUUUAUUGAUUGACACGUUGUUUUAUCGUCAAUGUUUGAUCACUACGCCAAGAGUACCGCUUACAAGUCAAUAUCUCUGUCCAAAGACUGGAUAUUGAUGUUGUGCUUGGUAUCUUGUGAUGGGCCCUACCACUAUUUGAGAUUAUUAUUAUUUGCAUAUUAAAGAUAUUCAUGUGAGCUAUUCAUAAUAAAUGUUCUCUAAUUCAGUUUCAGGUUCUGCUGCUAAUAUCUCUGCUAGCAUCAAUUCAAUUCCAAUGUUAAAUGGCACAAACUUCAGGGCAUGGCAAGAGAACGUUAUGAUUGUUCUCGGAGUCAUGGACCUAGACCUUGCUUUACGGGUCGAUCAACCUGCUGCACUUACUGAUAAGAGUACCUCUGAUGACAAGAGGGAGAUGGAAAAGUGGGAACGAUCGAACCGCAUAAGCUUAAUGGUCAUGAAGCGUGCUAUUCCAGAAGCAUUCCGGGGCACUAUGUCCGAUAAGGUGACUACGGCUAAGGGUUUCCUUGAGGACCUUGAGAAGAGGUUUGCCAAGAAUGAAAAGGCUGAAACAAGUACACUUUUGGCAAAUCUUGUCUCAAUGAGGUAUAAAGGGAAAGGAAACAUUCGGGAGUACAUUAUGGAAAUGUCUCACAUUGCUUCAAAACUAAAGGCACUCAAGUUGGAUUUAUCUGAAGACUUGUUAGUGCACUUGGUUCUGAUAUCCCUUCCGGCACAUUUCAGUCAAUUCAAGGUGAGCUACAACUGUCAAAAGGACUCAUGGUCCCUUAAUGAGCUCAUCUCACACUGUGUCCAGGAAGAGGAAAGACUGAAGCAUGAAAAGACAGAAAGUGCUCAUUUAGCCACCACCUCUAAGGACAAAAGCAACAAGAAAAGGAAGAUUAAUAAGGAAGCUGCAGGUACGGCACCGCAAAAGAAACAACAUAAGGAACCAACUGAAGGCGGUUGUUGCUUCUAUGGAGCUGCAGGUCAUAAGAAGAAGAAUUGCACCAAUUACCACGCAUGGCGUGUAAAGAAAGGUACUCUUCUUCAUUUGGUUUGUUCUGAGGUUAAUUUAACUUCGGUACCUAGACAUACAUGGUGGAUAGAUUCUGGUGCAACAACUCACAUCAGUAUGUCUAUGCAGGGUUGCCUGAGUUGCCGAAAACCAAGUGAUGGUGAAAGAUACAUCUAUGCUGGCGACGGCAAUAGAAUGGAAGUAGAGGCAAUAGGAAAAUUUAGAUUAUUGUUAAAGACUGAAUUUUAUUUGGAUCUUGUUGAGACAUUUAUUGUACCGUCUUUUAGAUGGAAUUUGACUUCUAUUACUG